RNAcentral lists this ribosomal RNA (798 nucleotides) under uncultured bacterium. Its description in RNAcentral is "bacterial SSU rRNA". It matches the Rfam family "Bacterial small subunit ribosomal RNA", at positions 562 to 1361 of the family's 1533-position model. The record is from RNAcentral.
AAAGCGAGCGUAGGUGGCUUGAUAAGUCAGAUGUGAAAGCCCCGGGCUUAACCUGGGAACGGCAUCUGAUACUGUUAGGCUAGAGUAGGUGAGAGGAAGGUAGAAUUCCAGGUGUAGCGGUGAGAUGCGUAGAGAUCUGGAGGAAUACCGAUGGCGAAGGCAGCCUUCUGGCAUCAUACUGACACUGAGGUUCGAAAGCGUGGGUAGCAAACAGGAUUAGAUACCCUGGUAGUCCACGCCGUAAACGAUGUCUACUAGUCGUUGGGUCCCUUGAGGACUUAGUGACGCAGCUAACGCAAUAAGUAGACCGCCUGGGGAGUACGGCCGCAAGGUUAAAACUCAAAUGAAUUGACGGGGGCCCGCACAAGCGGUGGAGCAUGUGGUUUAAUUCGAUGCAACGCGAAGAACCUUACCUGGUCUUGACAUAUCUAGAAUCCUGCAGAGAUGCGGGAGUGCCUUCGGGAAUUAGAAUACAGGUGCUGCAUGGCUGUCGUCAGCUCGUGUCGUGAGAUGUUGGGUUAAGUCCCGCAACGAGCGCAACCCUUGUCCUUAGUUACCAGCGGUUUGGCCGGGAACUCUAGGGAUACUGCCAGUGACAAACUGGAGGAAGGCGGGGACGACGUCAAGUCAUCAUGGCCCUUACGACCAGGGCUACACACGUGCUACAAUGGUAGGUACAGAGGGCAGCUACACAGCGAUGUGAUGCGAAUCUCAAAAAGCCUAUCGUAGUCCAGAUUGGAGUCUGCAACUCGACUCCAUGAAGUAGGAAUCGCUAGUAAUCGCGGAUCAGAUGCCGCG